GGAUUGUGGCUCAGUGGUUGAGUGCUCGCCUAGCAUGCAUGAGACCCUGAGUUCGGUCCUCAGCACCA
This 68-nucleotide transfer RNA is filed under the name Marmota monax (woodchuck). Its description in RNAcentral is "tRNA.Ala". The record is from RNAcentral. Lineage: Eukaryota; Metazoa; Chordata; Mammalia; Rodentia; Sciuridae.